AGAGUUUGAUCAUGGCUCAGGACGAACGCUGGCGGCGUGCUUAACACAUGCAAGUCGAACGGUGAUCUCCAGCUUGCUGGGGUGAUCAGUGGCGAACGGGUGAGUAACACGUGAGCAACCUGCCCAUGGCUCUGGGAUAACCUGGGGAAACCGAGGCUAAUACCGGAUAUGACGCGUACAGGCAUCUGUUGCGUGUGGAAAGUUUUUCGGCCAUGGAUGGGCUCGCGGCCUAUCAGCUUGUUGGUGGGGUAAUGGCCUACCAAGGCGACGACGGGUAGCCGGCCUGAGAGGGCGAUCGGCCACACUGGGACUGAGACACGGCCCAGACUCCUACGGGAGGCAGCAGUGGGGAAUAUUGCGCAAUGGGCGAAAGCCUGACGCAGCGACGCCGCGUGGGGGAUGAAGGCCUUCGGGUUGUAAACCUCUUUCAGCUCUGACGAAGCGCAAGUGACGGUAGGAGCAGAAGAAGCACCGGCUAACUACGUGCCAGCAGCCGCGGUA
RNAcentral lists this ribosomal RNA (501 nucleotides) under uncultured Actinomycetes bacterium. RNAcentral's name for it is "bacterial SSU rRNA". It matches the Rfam family "Bacterial small subunit ribosomal RNA", at positions 8 to 522 of the family's 1533-position model. The record is from RNAcentral. Lineage: Bacteria; Bacillati; Actinomycetota; Actinomycetes.